Molecule: unclassified non-coding RNA, 337 nt
Filed under: soil metagenome
Description: partial contains 5.8S ribosomal RNA, internal transcribed spacer 2, and large subunit ribosomal RNA
Rfam family: 5.8S ribosomal RNA (bases 1-120)
Source: RNAcentral
GAUGAAGAACGUAGCGAAAUGCGAUAAGUAGUGUGAAUUGCAGAAUUCAGUGAAUCAUCGAAUCUUUGAACGCACAUUGCGCCCCUUGGUAUUCCAUGGGGCAUGCCUGUUCGAGCGUCAUUUGUACCUUCAAGCUCUGCUUGGUGUUGGGUGUUUGUCUCGCCUCUGCGUGUAGACUCGCCUCAAAACAAUUGGCGGCCGGCGUAUUGAUUUCGGAGCGCAGUACAUCUCGCGCUUUGCACUCAUAACGACGACGUCCAAAAGUACAUUUUUACACUCUUGACCUCGGAUCAGGUAGGGAUACCCGCUGAACUUAAGCAUAUCAAUAAGCGGAGGA